This is a long non-coding RNA of Solanum dulcamara, 1043 nucleotides long. RefSeq lists it as uncharacterized. The transcript is spliced from 5 exons. Lineage: Eukaryota; Viridiplantae; Streptophyta; Magnoliopsida; Solanales; Solanaceae. The record is from RefSeq and is a predicted model, not a curated record.
UCCUUCGUUCAACUCUCAAACAUCCUUUUAGCUCAUUUUCCCUGGACACCUUCUUCCCCUUCUCUCUUUUUCAUCGGAUUAUUACGGGAGGAUUUUUGAUACUUUUCUUAGGCAUAUAUACCUGAGUGAACUCAAGAGGUCGGUUUUGUGGGUUUAUUUUAACUUAGAAAAUGAUCCUUGCUUCUUGAUUUUUUGAGCCUUUGCCAUUCUUAAAUGACAAGUGAUCAAAAAACUAUCUUCUUUACUGGGUUUUCACUUCAGAUGAGAGUUGCUUUGGGUAUAAGUAGCGAGACCUUGCAUUUAAUCUGCUAAGGUCCCUUACGGCCUUAUCCCAGAUUACCCUUUGCAAGAUUAUCAGUUGUCUACUAUUAAAGAAUGACAAAAGUCUCACAUUGGUGGUUAAUGAGACAGGUGGAUUCCUUGUAUUGGCACAUCUUAAUACUUAUGUGACCAGCUCAAUUGGUGUACCAUCAGCGUUCCUGUUACAAGUCGGAACAAGUCCCCAUGUUGCCGGAUGGUUAGUGGAGUCAUGACUUGUGUAAAGAUUGUCAAUCGUCUCAAGGGUUUUAUCCUAAGCUUUGUGAGAUGCAGAAGAUACGGAGUUAAUUAGCAGCCCCAUGUACAACGGUGUUUGGUGAAGAUAGGUACAAAAUUUGGCCCUAAUUUGUGUCUGGGAAUGUGCAUAAGAUGGGAAAGCAUGUGACAGUAAGACAAUCUUUCCAAGGAGCAAUGCCUAGUGGUAAAGCAAGCAAGACAUUCAAAAGUUUUUCACAGAGCUAGGUCCAAAAGAUGGCAUUCAACCAUCAUCUCCACGAGCUCACAUCUAUAAUGAUCUAAGGGUAAUUCCUUCCACAUUUCUGGCCUACCACAUAUAUAUCCAAUACUCAAACAUGAAAAAACAUAAGAAAGAAAAAAAGAGAGAAGUGAACGGGGCAGAAUUACAAACUUGUGGAAUUCACAUUAAGAUUCACUAAAGUUUCAACAUUGUUUUCUUAGAAAAAAUACGAUCAUUACAUAAUUAAAGUUUGCCACCCUACCAAGUA